RNAcentral lists this ribosomal RNA (1038 nucleotides) under Triticum aestivum (bread wheat). Its description in RNAcentral is "partial small subunit ribosomal RNA". The record is from RNAcentral. Lineage: Eukaryota; Viridiplantae; Streptophyta; Magnoliopsida; Poales; Poaceae.
AUGUAUGAUGGUUCUGCAGUGGCAUGCUAUGAUCAAUUGCGUUUAACUAAACGAAACUUUCAUGACCUUUGCACCAUGUUAAGGGAGAGAUGUGGCCUUUGUGAUAGUGUAUAUGUGAUAGUGGAAGAGAAAGUUGCAAUGUUUUUGCUUGUAGUUGGUCAUAGUAUUAAGAUGAGGAUGUUGCGUGGCACCUACAAGCGUUCUUUAUGGACCAUUAGCACACACUUCUCGGCUGUGAACGCCCUACUCUCUCUACAUGAGGAGUUCAUUAAGCUACCUUCCUCUACCGCUCAAGCUCCUGAUGAUUACAAAUGGAAAUGGUUUGGUAAUGCACUUGGAGCACUAGAUGGUUGUCAUAUUGAUGUGCUUGUUGAUGUGGCUGACCAAGGAAGGUAUAGGAACAGAAAGCAAGCCAUUACCACUAACAUGCUAGGUGCUGUUGAUUGGAACAUGAAGUUUCUUUAUGUGUUACCUGGCUGGGAGGGUUCAGUUUCAGAUUCGAGAGUCUUGCGUGAUGCAAUGAGGGCGAACCGCCAUGAUUCGUUUGUUGUGCCUAAGGGGAAAUAUUAUUUAGUUGAUGCUGGUUAUACCAAUGGAGAAGGAUUUCUAGCUCCAUUCAGGUCCACUCGGUAUCAUCUAAAAGAAUGGGCUGCAAGUGCACAACAGCCCCAAACAGCUAAAGAGUUAUAUAAUUUGCGUCAGUCUCGUGCUAGGAAUGUAGUGGAGCAAACAUUUGGCUUGUUCAAGAAAAAAUGGGCUAUCUUGCGUUCCCAAACCUUCUUUGACAUAAAGGAUCAGAUUCGAAUUAUUAGUGCUUGUUGUGUGUUGCACAACUAUGCAAGGGAUAGACAACAUGUCAUGGAUGAUUUGUUAUUGGCUGAAGUGGAUAGUGAAUUAGCAAAUGCGCCAAAUGAUGAUCCAGAUGAUGACAACUUCAUUAGAAGUGUGCAAGUCACUACUGAAUCGUCCAACUUUAGGCAACAACUAGCUGAUGAUAUGUUUGCCGAGUACCUUGUGGCGCAAGGAGAACAAGAGAUC